RNAcentral lists this ribosomal RNA (366 nucleotides) under uncultured fungus. Its description in RNAcentral is "eukaryotic LSU rRNA". It matches the Rfam family "Eukaryotic large subunit ribosomal RNA", at positions 40 to 398 of the family's 3401-position model. The record is from RNAcentral. Lineage: Eukaryota; Fungi.
AUAUCAAUAAGCGGAGGAAAAGAAACUAACAAGGAUUCCCCUAGUAACUGCGAGUGAAGAGGGAAGAGCUCAAAUUUAAAAUCUGGCUGUCUCUGGCAGUCCGAGUUGUAGUUUAGAGAAGUGUUAUCCGCGCUGGCCUGUGCAUAAGUUUCUUGGAAAAGAACAUCAUAGAGGGUGACAAUCCCGUCUUUGGCACAGAUAACCGGGGCUUUUGUGAUACGCUCUCGACGAGUCGCGUUGUUUGGGAAUGCAGCGCUAAAUGGGUGGUAAAUUCCAUCUAAAGCUAAAUAUUGGCGAGAGACCGAUAGCGAACAAGUACCGUGAGGGAAAGAUGAAAAGAACUUUGAAAAGAGAGUUAAACAGUAC